Molecule: long non-coding RNA, 248 nt
Filed under: Elaeis guineensis (African oil palm)
Lineage: Eukaryota; Viridiplantae; Streptophyta; Magnoliopsida; Arecales; Arecaceae
Description: long non-coding RNA (EGUI_LNC052288)
Source: RNAcentral
GUGGGCUCACGACACUUGUAGCUCACCUUCUCACUUCCCGAACCCUAGGUAAUAACCCUAGGGUACUCACAGAAAAAACCUGCGCCCAGUCUCUCUGCUUUUCUUUUCUCUUCUUUUCUUUUCUUUUCUCAUGCCACCUUAUCUCACUAGGAUCAGAUGUUUGCAUGCCCUAUCUUCUCUUCCUUUUAAAAAUAGUGCAAGAUGCAUCUUUUCAGCAUUUUCACCGUGUGAGAGGAUAAAGAUAGGUG